This 457-nucleotide long non-coding RNA is filed under the name Physcomitrium patens. Its description in RNAcentral is "long non-coding RNA (PPAT_LNC010935)". The record is from RNAcentral. Lineage: Eukaryota; Viridiplantae; Streptophyta; Bryopsida; Funariales; Funariaceae.
AAAAUCUUAAAGAAAUUCAAAAUAAAUCCACAAUAAAUCUUAAAAGAAUCUCUAAAAAAUCCUAAAUAAAUAUUAAAAUAAUUACAAAUAUAUUUUAAAUAAAUCACAAUUAAGUUCUAAUUUAAUCUUGGUUAAAAUCCUAAUAGACUUCAAUAAAAUCCUAGGCCAAAUCCUAAAUCCUAAACCCUAAAAAAGAUCCUAAACCAAAUCCUAAAACCUAGUCCAAUCCUAAAUCCUAAUUAAUCUUUAAUCAAAUCUUAAGCAAUUCUUAAAUCAUAAAUCUUAAGUAAAUCCUAAAUCAAAUCCUAAAUCCUAGUCCAAUCCUAAAUUCUAACCAAACCUUAAUCAAAUCCUAAACCCUAACUCAAUCCUAAUCCUAAACCAAAUCCUAAUAAAAACUUAACCAAUUCAAUCUAAUCUUAGUAUAAUAUAGAACCUCAAUAUCUAUUGAUUAAAU